GGCUAACGCUGGCGGCGUGUCUUAGCCAUGCAAGUCGAGCGGACUUAUGGGGUAACUUAUAAGUCAGCGGCGGACGGCGGAGUAACACGUAGCUAACCUACCCUCUGGACGGGGAUAACCUACCGAAAGGUGGGCUAAUACCCGAUGUAGUCAUCCUGUAUAGGGGUGAUGAAAGGUGGGCUUCUGUUUACAAGCUCAUGCUGGAGGAGGGGGCUGCGGCCUAUCAGGUAGUUGGUAGGGUAAUAGCCUACCAAGCCGAUGACGGGUAGCCGGCCUGAGAGGGUGACCGGCCCGAGGGGCACUGAGAUACGGGUCCCACUCCUACGGGAGGCAGCAGGCUAGAAAUUUGGGCAAUGGGGGAAACCCUGACCCAGUGACGCCGCGUGCAGGAAGGAGCCCUUCGGGGUGUAAACUGCUGUCGUGUAGGGAGAAGGGUACUAAGGUGAACAAUCUUAGUACUUGACGGUACUACGAGGAGGAAGCCCAGGCUAACCUCGUGCCAGCAGCCGCGGUAAUAGUAGCGUACU
This 527-nucleotide ribosomal RNA is filed under the name uncultured bacterium. RNAcentral describes it as "bacterial SSU rRNA". It matches the Rfam family "Bacterial small subunit ribosomal RNA", at positions 28 to 536 of the family's 1533-position model. The record is from RNAcentral.